AGUCCAGGGGGGGUCCGUCCCUUUACCGGGCCAUAGGAGGAAAAUUGCUACCAAAUGCUGCCAAUGUGACGUCACUGGGAUGGUCGAAAGCUGAUUGGUCGCUGAGAUUCAGGCGAUGCUGUCAAUUCUGGCGCACCGGCGCAGUGUUUUCCAGCCGUUGCGUGUAUUGUUAUACGGAGUUUGAAUAUUGUUUAUUUGAUAAUAAUAUCACUUUUUAUGUGUUUGAAGAUCGGAAAAGCAUAUACAUAAGUGGCAUUCACACACUUGUCGUCUCAGAGAUCAUGAAGAAUGACCAGCUUCAGCAGUUCAGCUCAGGUCCGGGGCUGGUCCUCUGGCGUGCAAGACGGCGAGGAGUGGCUACCUGCACAUAACACAAUGACUGGCACCGAGCUGAGGGCAUAAAAUCACAUCAUAUCGACUUCAGCAUCUGUCUCCCAGCUUUGGAGACGUCGCCCGACUCCCUGAGUGGCGAGCGCCAGUUUCCGAAAGGAAGUUGAGGAAGGCGACCCGAAAGCACCCGCUGGGCUGCCGACACUCCUGCGCUGCCAGCAGGGCGUGCUGCGCAGUAAAGCCUCGCUGCGUGGUCUGUACGACAUCCGACACCGGCACCCAGACGUGCAGUUUCUGAUGACAUCCCACCUCAGCCAGGGCUGCCCCGAGAAUCUGCUAGUGCUUACUGCCUGCUGCUGAGGCCGACCUGCCGACGACCUGCCGGACCUGUCGCCGCCCUGGUGAGCCUGAGCCGGCCUGGGACUUGCCGCCGUGUCUACGCUGCCGCCCUGGUGAAACUGCCGUCGCCCUGCCGAACCUGUCGCCGCCCUGGUGAGCCUGCGGCCGCCCUGGACCUGCUGCCACCCCGGCGGACCUGCCGCCGCGUCUACGCUUCCGCCCUGGUGAAACUGCCGUCGCCCUGCCGGAUCUGUCGCCGCCCUGGUAAACCUGCUGCCGACCUGUCGCACCUGCCACCGCCCUGGUGAAUCUGCUGCCGACCUGCCUGACCUGUCGCUGCCGUGGUGAACCUGUUACCGACUUGCCGGACCUUUCUCGCCGCCUUGACGAGCUUGGGGAGCCUGUGCUGAGGUGCCACCGCUCUGUUUCACGUGUUAUGUUGCCCGGUUCCUGGCUGUCGCGGAGUCAAUCGGCACAUUGUGUUUGGAGAGGCGACAUCUUGUACAACUUUCCGACAGUUCGGAGCAUUUUAUUGUACCUAAUCAAGUCGCAAGAGAUUAGGCUUGUGCCUUAUUUGUCCUCUACCAAUCUGUCCAAUAUGGUUUUUUAUAACUACGAUUUAUGGUAUGACAUAAACCGGUAUAUUGUGUA
This is a long non-coding RNA of Amphibalanus amphitrite, 1320 nucleotides long. RefSeq lists it as uncharacterized. NCBI's taxonomy places the organism in Eukaryota, Metazoa, Arthropoda, Thecostraca, Balanomorpha, Balanidae. The transcript is spliced from 2 exons. The record is from RefSeq and is a predicted model, not a curated record.